RNAcentral lists this non-coding RNA (29 nucleotides) under Rattus norvegicus (Norway rat). The record is from RNAcentral. Lineage: Eukaryota; Metazoa; Chordata; Mammalia; Rodentia; Muridae.
UGUGGACUACAUGGUGCUGUGAACUUUUC